This is a long non-coding RNA of Oncorhynchus masou masou (cherry salmon), 12078 nucleotides long. RefSeq lists it as uncharacterized. The transcript is spliced from 5 exons. Lineage: Eukaryota; Metazoa; Chordata; Actinopteri; Salmoniformes; Salmonidae. The record is from RefSeq and is a predicted model, not a curated record.
UCCUAGAGGAAAAUCUGGUUCAGUCUGCUUUCCACCAGACUCUGGGAGAUUAAUUCAUAUUUCAGCAUGACAAUAACCGAAAAACACAAGGCCAAAUCUACACUGGAGUUGCUUACCAAGAAAGACAGUGAAUAUUCCUGAGUGGCCGAGUUACAGUUUUGACUUAAAUCUGCUUGAAAAUCUAUGACAAAACCUGAAAAUGGUUGUCUAGCAAUGAUCAACAACCAAUUUGACAGAUCUUGAAGAAUUUUGAAAAUAAUAAAUGGCAAAUGUUACAGUAUGUGAAAUGUCUCUGAAGCCACACCCUGAAACUCUCCCGAGUACGGGAGUUGCAGCGAUGAGACAAGACUGUAACUACUACCAAUUGGGGAGAAAAAAAGGAUUUUUCGAUGUCUAGCGGUCUUCUGGACUGCUUUGAGUUCAGCGACAGACACACCUCAGAGAACUUGGCAGAGGAACUGUUGAGAGUGGCCAGAGAAUGGAGCACAUUAGGUGCUGAAAACUAAAGUCUACACAACGCCAGAUGGGGAUGCCUGAUGCCAUCAUCUCUAGCCUGGUCAUUGUCAAUGCACCUGUUGAUGCUCUGACCCAAGAGGAAUGGGAGGUGGUGGAGGAGUGUGCAGAGUCCUGGAACCCUUUGAGCAGGUCACUGUGGAGAUCAGUGGAGAGAGCUAUGUGACAGCCUCAGAAAUUAUGCUCCUGUGUAAAGGUCUGCAGCGAAUCAUAGCCAGCCGCCAGAGAGAAGCAAAUGUAACCACAGGACAUGUGACAGACUUGAUGGACACCCUGUGUUCAUCAAUGGACAGAAUGGAAUAUAAUCUCGUGCUAUCAGAAACCGCUGCACUUCACCACAGGUUUAAGAAGUUAGCCUUCAGUGAUGCCAGAGUGAGUGAUGAGGCUCUUCAAAGAAUAACCCCCAGCAGUCAGCUGGCUCAGGCACCAGGGCAACAGGAAGAAGAGGGAGCAGAUUGAGCAGAAGCACAAGCAGUAAUGCCACAAACGUCUGACGAGAGAGCAACUGGGGAUGCAGCACGAAGGAAUUCCUCAGCAGAUGAAAUAAUGGAAGUCCGAUCCUAUUUGGAGGAGCCCCUCCUCUGAGCUGGUGGAAGAACAAGGCCUCUGUCUACUCACAACUUACUAAAGUCAUGACAGGGAGACUCUGCAUAGUGGCCACAUCCGUUCCCUCUGAAAGGGUCUUCUCAAAAAUGGGAAAAAUAAUUACUGAGAGAAGAAACCGCAUCAGCCCCUUGAAUGUGAGGCAGCUUGCAUUUCUGAAUGCAAAUCUCUCAUAAAAGCUAAAUAUGGUCAGCAUUGCUGUGUGCUGCUGGUUAUAACAUGGCAAUAAAGAAGAGAGAGAAAAGAGGGACCAGUUUAAUGUUUUACGUGGGAUGCUGCAGUUUUGCACAGUGUUAUUUAUUUUUCUUUGAUAUGGUGCAAUAUUCUAUUAUGCUGUUCAGAUUGUAUUUGUUUUGAAUGGUUAGAUUUAUAUGGACUUUGUUAAUAUACAUUAAAAAGUUAUACUUUAAAUGUUUAAUAGCAUUCUUUUUCAUAACAAAUCAAAUCAAGCUAACCCAAAUUGAAUUUCAUUAAUUUCUUAAAUCUUCUCUAGGCAUUCCCUUCCCAAACCUGAAACCCCGUCCCCAGCGGAAAAGACCAGGAAGAAGAUUUGGCUUAAGCUCGCUGGGUGACAGGUGAGUCUUUCCACCAAGCUGUUCCAGUCCUGGAGUGGAACGCUGGAACUUCCAGAGGUUUGUAGACCUGAAGCAGUGUGAUGUGGUCCAGGUAAUUAUCACACGUAUCUGUUUUGUUGUAUAAUUAUUUCCACUUAAGAAAAUUGUUCCUCUUUCUUUUAGAUCUGACAUCCUUAUUAUCUCAACCACAGCCCUCACAGCUGCAGUCGUCUGCCCCUGCACCUGCUAUACAUACUGGUGUCGUGUCUUUGGCUAUGCCGGAUUAAGUGAUAUGACAUGCUAUUCUAUAAAAUAAUUUCUCCGUAAUUAAUAUCACCUGAUUGAGCUAAUCAUGUAAAUGUAAUUAACUAGAAAGUCGGGCACCACAAAAUAAUAUUUAUAGAGCUGUUAUCUUCCGAAUAAACUCUUAAAGACCUAGUAAUAUUUUACAUCAAUAGCAGUCAAUAUUAAUCGUCAUCUUAAUUCAGUCUCAUCUGAAAGUUGUAAAUUCUUGGUUAUCUGCACGAACCCUGGCCAACAAGUUGAACCAGCAAUACAAAAUAGGGUUUAAUUAUUUAUUUACUAAAUACCUAACAAAUCACACAGAAUUACACAUACACAUAAUUAAAUCAUAACUUGAUUAAAAAUUACGUCAUAAAGGAAAACGUCCCCAGCGGGCGGAGCACAUAUGACAGCUUGUUACACAAAAGAAAAGGGGCUGGGUUGGAGUGAAAGAGCGGGAAGACUGAGGAACAAAGGGGGGAAGCUGUGCUAUCGUAAAUACAGUAUCUUAUGCAUUCUAAAUUACCGCCCAUAUGGAAAAGGAAAAUGAUACUCUGUCUGUUCCUUCCUAAUCCUCGUUUGCAGCUGCUGUUGCUAACUCAACGGCUAGGAGCUAUCCCUUCUGUAGUGAAUAAGAGUUCAAAGUGCAUCCCAAUCGCAACCAAAGCUCACGCUGAUGUUGGUUUCGUUCAGUAGUUUUCAGUCAUCGGACCAUUGUCCUCGGAACAGGAUGUUAUAUUGUCGUCAAAGGCUUAUAUAGGAAGGGAGAGGAGGGCGUGUUUGAAAAGUUUUAUAGCCCAUGUCGCUUCACAGGGGCGGGCCACUGAUUGAGCAGAGCCCUAUCUUAUGAAAACCCAAAUCUCACAUUUUAGAAGCUAAAAUCACAUUUCAUCCCAUCAUGAAUAAUUUCAUAUUCAAACAUUUAAAUUGAACAACAAUUCCAUGUGAAUCCGAUAACUCUGGUGUGUAGACUUUCCACUGUAGAGUUUGUCAUUUUAUCAUUGAUGAGAAUGUCUCAGAUGACAACUGAACUGACAUCAUAUUCAUUAAGUACCACCGCGUAUGUUCAAUUGGUCGCAUUACCAGAAUAUAGUUAAUUUCCCCCCACCUUCUGAUGUUCCCAGAAUCUCUAUGUUAACCAAGGGUUUUGCAAAUGUAACAUCAGUAGGGUAGAGAGAGGAAAAAGGGGGGAAGAGGUAUUUAUGACUGUCAUAAACAUACCCCCAGGCCAAUGUCAUGACACUGGUGAUACAGGUAAUUAUCACAUACAUGCAUACUCGCCCUCACUUGGUGCUCUAUUCAAUCACAUCCGCUUUAGCUGACAUCUGCAUAGCGGUUGUUUUGCCGGUGUGAGAUGUGGAACUGUGUUAGAGCUGUCAAAUCCACAAGUGGCUCUUGGCGUUAUACCUAAAGCAGACUUUGCCAUUGGCUCCACGGAGUUUAGGCUGAUAGACUUUGCCAUUGGCUCCACACCUCGAUUAGGCUGAUAGAAAUCCUCAUUAUUUAGUUUCAUGAUUUUGAAUUUGACCAUCAUUGUUUCUAUAUAGCCUACACUUUCUCGAACAUGUAACUCAAGUAAGACGGUUGUAGUUUCGUGACAAUGAUCAAGAGCAGCUGCUUACCGAUUUGACAGGUCGCCGGAAAAUACUUGAUCUGAAUCUAGGCCUUACACUCAUGCAGUCUGUUUCGUUGUAUGAUUAUUGUCAGUUAAACUCUUGACGCUAGGGGGCACUAUUUUUAUGUUUGGAAAAAUAACAUUCCCAAAGUAAACGGCCUAUUUCUCAGGACCAGAAGCUAGAAUAUGCAUAUAAUUGACAGAUUAGGAUAGAGAACACUCUGAAGUUUCCAAAACUGUAAAAAUAUUCGCUGCGAGUAUAACAGAACUGAUAUUGCAGGCGCUGAGGAGUGUUGUCACCAUACUCAGAGUGCCCUCACCUCCUCCCUGUAGGCUGUUUCAUCAUUGUUGGUAAACAAGCCUACUACAGUUGUGUCGUCUGCAAACUUGAUGAUUGUGUUGGAGGUAUGCAUGGCCAUGCAGUCAUGGGUGAACAGACAGUACAGGAGGGGGCUGAGCACGCACCCUUGUGGGGCCCCAGUGUUGAGGAUCAGCGAAGUGGAGAUGUUGUUUCCUACCUUCAACACCUGGGGGCGGCCCAUCAGGAAGUCCAGGACCCAAUUGUACAGGGCGGGGUUGAGACCCAGGGCCUGUAGCUUAAUGAUGAGCUUGGAGGGUACUAUGGUGUUGAAUGCUGAGCUAUAGUCAAUGAACAGCAUUCUUACAUAGAUAUUCCUCUUGCCCAGAUGGGAUAGGGCAGUGUGCAGUGUUAUGGCUAUUGCAUCUUCUGUGGACCUAUUGGGGCGGUAAGCAAAUUAAAGAGGGUCUAAGAUGACAGGUAAGGUGGAUGUCCUUGACUAGCCUCUCAAAGCACUUCAUGAUGACAUAGGUGAGUGCUACCUUUGCCUUCUUGGGUACAGGAACAAUGGCGGCCAUCUUGAAGCAUGUGGGGACAGCAGACUGGGAUAAGGAGAGAUUGAAUAUGUCCGCAAACACACCAGCCAGCUGGUCUGCGCAUGCUCUGAGGACGCGGCUAGGGAUGCCGUCCUGGCCGGCAGCCUUGCAGGUGUUAACACGUUUAAAUGUCUUGCUCACGUCGGCCACGGAGAAGGAGAGCCCACAGUCCUUGGUAGCAUCCGUGUCGGUGACACUGUAUUAUCCCCAAUGCGGGCCAAGAAGGUGUUUAGUUUGUCUGGGAGCAAGACGUCGGUGUCCGUGGCAUGGCUGGUUUUCCUUUUAUAAUCCGUGAUUGACUGUAGACCCUGCCACAUACGUCUCGUGUCUGAGCCGUUGAAUUGCGACUCCACUUUGUCUCUAUACUGACAUUUCGCUUGUUUGAUUGCCUUGCGGAGGGACUUUUACUAUUUGUAUUCGGCCAUAAUCCCAGUCACCUUUCCAUGGUUAAAUGCAGUGGUUCGCAAUUUCAGUUAUGCGCGAAUGCCGCCAUCUAUCCACGGUGUCUGGUUAGGGUAGGUUUUAAAAUUCACAGUGGGUACAACAUCUCCAAUGCACUUCCUCAUAAACUCACUCUCCGAAUCAGCGAAUAUGUCAAUAUUAUCCUCUGAGGCUACCCAGAACAUGUCCCAGUCUGCCCUCACAUAUGUACAUUGUUCCCAGGAGUGGGAGGCAACCCAAUUCAUUUUGAGUGGGUUAUUUUGCCUAAAAACCUUUAGGCCUACCCAUAGAAAAAAAAAACUGCAAGAGUGGCAAAAAUGGUGUUUAGCAUCCCCAUUGGCUCGCAAAUGCUUCUCAAUGUAUUUCUUUGUAGGCUCUAGCCUUGAAAUAAUAGAAAUAAUAUAGCCUAAAUAAUUCAUUUUCGUUCUUUGUUAGGCUCCCUGUCUGGCUCCUGACCUAUUUAGAGUGUUUAUAUGCUGUUUAAUAUGACAUGUAGUCUGAAAUUAUGUUUGCUUCUUACAUUAACCUUUUCAUGUAUAUUCAAAUACUUUUAAUUCAAAUCCAUAUGGUUAGGUUUCAAUACUUUAAAACCAAUUGGUAGGUCCAGGUAGUCACAAAAAUAGAUGGAUGUUGAUUCAAUUGUGAUUUUAAUGAAUGGAGCGAAAUCGGAGCAGGAGUUUUUUCCCAGUGAUGAGCACUGGAGCAGUUUUGGAAAGGACAUGGUGAGCACAGUGCGCAAGAACCACUCCAUGAGCCGGGAUUCAACUGUGCUCACAUGUGACAUUGUCCAAUCCGUUUGAGAAAAGAGGAAGACAAGGAACAAUUAUUGUUCACCAUCAUGAAGAAAUUGAGUUGUGAGAAGGCUGAGCUCCAGCAUUUGGGAAUCUUGCUCAGGCUCCAGUCAAAUCGGACAUGUUCCGCACCAGCUCUGCUCACAUACUAUGACUGAUUCAAUGUUAUGUUUUAGUUAGGCCUAUUCACCAUUUCAACGCUGUCACGGGGGUAGCAUUAAGAGAAGAGGAGAGGUAUACUUUGGACUGCACUAUUUAUCUCCUUGUCUUUGUGUGGAGGCAAAUAAGCUGAUAACUCAAAAACAGGGAGAGAUGUGGGUUGGUGUGAGUUUGGAGUGUUGGAUAUUAGCAAGAAACAAAGGAAGGUAUGAGCGUAAACCUUAGGAGGAGAGAAAAAUAGGAAAUGCAAAUAAAUGAAAUGGGAAAAACAAGUUUGGAAAUUUCAAUAGAGAAUGAUAGGGGCCUCUAGUGGUCAAAAGGCAGUAUUAACAUGGGCAGCGCCAUUCAGGGCUGCCCAUUUUAUUUUAUAAAAAGAAAAUCACAACAAAUACCAACAUACACAUAAGAACAACGACUUACAGACACACACAAACAACACUAAAUCUCCUCUGCCCAGACCCGCAUGCUCACACCCCCAUCCUUAGUGCCUGCAUUAUUGUUUGCCACAUUAAAUUGUAGGGGAGAGAGAGGUAUGUUGUCACAUUUUUCACGCUGUCUAACAUUUACUGGGCACAAUAUAUCACAAUGGUAUAAAUGUCAUACCAAAUGAAAGACGGAAGUCUUGGGCACAUAUUCUGUAUUCAUUACAUCUUCAUAUCUAUUUCAGUAUUAAGUUGUAGACCGUUAAAUAGAGAGUGUGCAUUUGUGACAAUCAGCGGGUACAUUGAUACACUACGUCUGGUAAGUUGUCACAUUGGAUUAUCAACAAAUAAGAACACAACUAAUGAAUUGUGAAUAUUGAUUUUAAUUUCAAAACCAAAUUCAACUUCCGCCGAAGUUGGUCCCUCUCCUUGUUCGGAGGGCAGACGGCGGUCGACGUCACCGACCUUGUGGCCAUCGCCGAUCCACUUUUCAUUGGUUUUGUCUUCACACCUGGUUCUAAUUCCAUCAAUUACAUGUUGUGUAUUUAAUCUUCUGUUUCCCCCAUGUCCUUGUCCGUAAUUGUUUGUUGUAGUGCUUAUGCACGGUAUGCACCGGGUUUUGUUUGACCCAUUUAUUGCAUUAUUCUGUUGAAGGUGGUUUAUGGUUAUUAAACACAACCGUUGUAAAUCAGUUUCCGCUCUCCCGCGCCUGACUUUGCCGCCAGUAGGAUCGCAUUACAAAAUAACUCAAAAUAAAAACAAUCAUGCCUUUCAAUCAAAACAAUAAUGCUGGCAGAGCGCACAUUCAUUAAGUGGCACGACCACUUUACUGAAUUUUGAAAUCGAACAUUCUCUGGCGUGCACAUAGACCCACGGUAAUGGAAUCGGAAUGUAAAUGCUGCAGAUAACUAGCUUAAAUGUUUAAAGUCUUAACAAAACAGGCAUGGUGUUUAAACACACUUAUGCACAAAUGCACAGCCUAUAGGACGAACAUCCGUAUCUGACUAAUCAGACUCAUCUUCAGAGUCACAGUUCUGGCACACAUACAUUGCCUGGCCGGAGGUGCAAGCAUCAUGGGCCCAUUUGUUGCAUCUCUCACACGUCACCCACGUCUCCUUUGGAAGGCUGUUUGAAAAUGGCUCCACACAGAUGAGGCAGAAGCAGUCCUCUUCAUCUGAUGACUAUUCGACAAUCUUUUUUUUUUUUGGUGCUGCUGCUUUCUUGUUCUUUGCAGAUCCAGAUUUUGCUUCCCUUUCUUCGGAAACAGUCUUUUGCUAGAUUGUGCCUUAUUCUUUUCCAUUUCUAGUGCCUGCGUCACUGGAUGUGUCAGUUAGAAUUGCGGUUUUGCACCGUUUUCUUCCUUUGCAAGCUGGUGUUCGGGGGCCAGCUUUUGGAUAUGGCCGGAUGUCCUCUGGAGAUGGUAGUCUGCUGUCAGCAAUGGCAUAGCUGGACAUGGGUGAGCUGGUGCGUGUAAUUCUUGUAAUCCAAGAUGGCGUAGUAGUCAGACGUCUUUGUCCUGUCGUGUCCCUUGUAUAUAUUGUUUUUCAUAUUUUUCAUCGCAUAUCCUUUAAAAUAUUUUGCUAAACCUUAUCAUCUAACUACUCUCCUGCAACCCGCCUCGCCCAAUGUGGCGUGGAUAUGCAUUUUUUCCCCUAAAGAAUCUAUAUUUACUUUGGAUCUGGAAUCCCUCAACUGAAGCUAGCCAGCUAACUACCAGAUAUCAGUCAGCAAACCAUUGCCAGUGGUCAUCAGCUAACCUUCAGCUCAGAAAACUCUCGGCAGUUUGAACAACGUGACUCUAACCAGAGCAUAACGGACCUGUUAUUUUUAUCCCUGGAUUCCUACCGCAAACUGAACAUUUUCAUCUGGAUCUUCACAACUAGCUAACCGCAAUCCCGGAUGACUACUCCUGGCUAGCAUUUCCAUCCCAGAGCAAGCACCAAUUUAGCUUGAAGCUAGCCCGGCCAGGGUUCCUGUGCUACCACCGAAGCAUACUCCAGAGCUACAAUAUCGGCCUGCUAGCUACCUAGAGCUACUUGGAACCCUACUAAUUCCACGAAUGGUCUAUCGACGUCACCGCACGAAGAGCCAAAAACAGACUUACCCCCAUCGCAACAUCCCCUGCUAUCUGCUUGCUUGCUAACCCGGUCUGCUAACUGCUAAACUGCCGGGCCCUGGUCUGUUAACUGCUAGCUUGCCUGACCGGUCUGCUAACUGCUAGCCCUUGCUAACUGCUAGCUUGCCUGCCCGGUCUGCUAACUGCUAGCCCUUGCUAACUGCUAGCUUGCCUGCCCGGUCUGCUAACUGCUAGCCCUUGCUAACUGCUAGCUUGCCUGACCGGUCUGCUAACUGCUAGCCCUUGCUAACUCUUAGCUUGCCUGGCCGGUCUGCUACCUGCUAGCCCUUGCUAACUGCUUGCUUGCUAACCCGGUCUGCUAACUGCUAGCUUGCCCUGGUCUAUUAGCUGGUAGCUUGUUUAGCUCCGGCCUACUAACUGUUAGCUUGUUAGCCUGCUAACUGUCUGAAUCGCCAUGUCCCCAGCCAGCCCAACCACUCACUGGACCCAUAUGUUCACUUGGCUACGCAUGCCUCUCUCUAAUAUCAAUAUGCCUUGUCCAUUACUGUCCUGGUUAGUGAUUACUGUCUUAUUUCACUGUAGAGCCUCUAGCCCUGCUCAAUAUGCCUUAACCAACCAUGUUGUUCCAUCUCCCACAUAUGUGAUGACAUCACCUGGUUUAAACAUCUCUAGAGACUAUAUCUCUCUCUUCAUUACUCAAUGCCUAGGUUUACCUCCAAUGUACUCACAUCCUACCUUACCUUUGUCUGUACACUAUGCUUUGAAUCUAUGCUAUCGUGCCCAGAAACCUGAUCCUUUUACCCUCUGUUCUGAACGUGCUAGACGGCGAGUUCGUAUAGUCUUUAGCCGUACCCUUAUCCUACUUCUCCUCUGUUCCUCUGGUGAUGUGGAGGUUAAUCCAGGUCCUGCAGUGCCUAGCUCCACUCCCACCCCCCAAGUGCUCUCAUUUGUUGAAUUAUGUAAACGUAAAUGUCUUUGUUUCAUGCAUGUUAACAUUGGAAGCCUACUCCCUAAGUUUGUUUUACUCACUGCUGUAGCACACUCUGCCAACCCAGAUGUCUUAGCCGUGUCUGAAUCCUGGCUUGGGAAAACCACCAAAAACCCUGAAAUCUCCAUUGCUAACUAUAACGUUUUCCGCCAAGAUAGAACUGCCAAAGGGGGCGGUGUUGCAAUCUACUGCAAAGAUAGAAAGUGAUACAGAAUUCUGCAGGCUAAGUCUGUACCCAAACAAUUUGAGCUUCUACUUCAAAAACUUCACCUUUCCAGAAACAAGUCUCUCGCUGUUGCCACUUGCUAUAGAUCUCCCUCUGCCCCCAGCUGUGCCCUCGAUACUAUAUGUGAACUGAUUGCCCCCCAUCUAUCUUCUGAGCUCGUGCCACUAGGUGACCUAAACUGGGACAUGCUUAACACCCCGGCCAUCCUACAAACUAAGCUUGAUGCCUUCAAUCUCACACAAAUUAUCAAUGAACCUACCAGGUACAACCCCAAAUCAGUAAACAUGGGCACCCUCAUAGAUGUCAUCCUAACUAAUUUACCCUCCAAAUACACCUCUGCUGUUUUCAAUCAAGAUCUCAGCGAUCACUGCCUCAUUGCCUGCAUCCAUAAUGGGUCUGCGACCAAACGACCACCACUCAUCACUGUCAAACGCUCCCUGAAACACUUCUGCGAGCAGGCCUUUCUAAUCGACCAUGCCGGGGUAUCCUGGAAUGAUAUUGACCUCAUCCCGUCAGUAGAUGUAUUUAGUCAGCCACCAAUUGUGCAAGUUCUCCCACUUAAAAAGACGAGAGAGGCCUGUAAUUUUCAUCAUAGGUACACUUCAACUAUGACAGACAAAAUGGGAAAAAAAAUCCAGAAAAUCACAUUGCAGGAUUGUUUAUGAAUAUAUUUGCAAAUUAUGGUGGAAAAUAAGUAUUUUGUCACCUACAAACAAGCAAGAUUUCUGGCUCUCACAGACCUGUAACAACUUCUUUAUUAAGAGGCUUCUCUGUCCUCCACUCGUUACCUGUAUUAAAGAAGGGGUCAAAAUCAAAAGUAACAGUCAGUAUCUGGUGUGGUCACCAGCUGCAUUAAGUACUGCAGUGCAUCUCCUCCUCAUGGACUGCACCAGAUUUGCCAGUUCUUGCUGUGAGAUGUUACCCCACACUCUUCCACCAAAGCAGCAAGUUCCUGGACAUUUCUGGGGGGAACGGCCUUCGCCCUCACCCUCUGAUCCAAGAGGGAGGAGGAUGUCUUCCCUGCAACGCACAGUGUUGAGAUUGCCUGCAAUGACAACAAGCUCAGCCCUACGAUGCUGUGACACACAGCCCCAGACCAUGACGGACCCUCCACCUCCAAAUCGAUCCCGCUCCAGAGUACAGGUCUCGGUGUAACGCUCAUUCCUUCGACGAUAAACACGAAUCCGACCAUCAUCCCUGGUGAGAUAAAACCGCGACUCGUCAGUAAAGAGCACUUUUUGCUAGUCCUGUCUGGUCCAGUGAUGGUGGGUUUGUCCCCAUAUGCGACGUUGUUGCCGGUGAUGUCUGGUGAGGACCUGCCUUACAACAGGCCUACAAGCCCUCAGUCCAGCCUCUCUCAGCCUAUUGCAGACAGUCUGAGCACUGAUGGAGGGAUUGUGCGCUCCUGGUGUAACUCGGGCAGUUGUUGCUGCCAUCCUGUACCUGUCCCGCAGGUGUGAUGUUCGGAUGUACCGAUCCUGUGCAGGUGUUGUUACACAUGGUCUGCCACUACAAGGACGAUCAGCUGUUCGUCCUGUCUCCACGUAGCGCUGUCUUAGGCGUCUCACAGUACGGACAUUGCAAUUUAUUGCCCUGGCCACAUCUGCUGUCCUCAUGCCUCCUUUCAGCAUGCCUAAAGAAUGUUCACAAAGAUGAGCAGGGACCCUGGGCAUCUUUCUUUUGGUGUUUUUCAGAGUCAGUAGAAAGGCCUCUUUAGUGUCCUAAGUGUUAAUAACUGUACCUUAAUUGCCUAACGUCUGUAAGCUGUUAGUGUCUUAAUGACCGUUCCACAGGUGCAUGUUCAUUAAUUGUUUAUGGUUCAUUGAACAAUAAUGGAAAACAGUAUUUAAAUCCUUUACAAUGAAGAUCUGUGAAGUUAUUUGGAAAGACAGGGUCCUGAAAAGGUGACAUUUCUCUUUUUGCUGAGUUUAUAAGUACGUUUACAGUAACAUUUAAUUCUAUUAUCAUAGCUGAUUACACAAUAUCUCAAUGUUUGUUACGCAUGUUCUAUGUGUCUAUGUAUACUGGGGCAAUUUGUCACAUGUGAAGACUUGCCCCCAGGUCAUUGAUACAACUUGCCCCAAACUGACAUGUGUGCUAAUGUUGGCUAAAUCGCAAGGUUAGCUCAACAUAGGACUGCAGCUAAAGUAUCAAAAGACACAUUAUUGUCUCCUCUACUCAGUGCAAAAUUAUCAUUUUGAAUGUUCAUACCUAACAAAGUUUUAUUGAAUAAAAUGUAAAGUGCCAAUUUUUUUACUUUUGAAGGGGAAAAAUAAGAAACUUGUGAUCACCUCAGAUUAGAGUGACCUUGACCACAUGUGAACAGGAAGUUGACCAUAGAAUAUGUAGUCACACAAAGUAGCUAUUUGAUUUUUGAGAUAGACCCUCUAGUGUUGGAGGUAUGAACACUUUGACAACUUACCCGUGUGAAAACUUACCUCGCACUCACCUACUAAUUUGUUUUUCUCUGUCGCCUGUGUAUUUCAAUAAUAAAUCAUUUGAUUUUUAUAUUG